AGGAUAGGAGUUUAACAAAACAUAUAAAUUGCAAUUAUAAAAUAAAUUAGAUAAUUUCUAUCUUA
Molecule: transfer RNA, 65 nt
Filed under: Bemisia tabaci
Lineage: Eukaryota; Metazoa; Arthropoda; Insecta; Hemiptera; Aleyrodidae
Description: tRNA-Ala
Source: RNAcentral